CCUUCGGGUUGUAAACCCCUUUUCUGGGGGAAGAGGAAGGACGGUACCCCAGGAAUAAGCCCCGGCCAACUACGUGCCAGCAGCCGCGGUAAAACGUAGGGGGCGAGCGUUAUCCGGAUUCACUGGGCGUAAAGCGCACGCAGGCGGCUCGGUAGGUCGGGCGUGAAAGCUCCGGGCUCAACCCGGAGAGGUCGUUCGAUACCGCCGGGCUUGAGGACGGGAGAGGGAGGUGGAAUUCCCGGUGUAGCGGUGACAUGCGUAGAUAUCGGGAGGAACACCAGUGGCGAAGGCGGCCUCCUAGCCCGCUCCUGACGCUAAGGUGCGAAAGCUAGGGUAGCAAACGGGAUUAGAGACCCCGGUAGUCCUGGCCGUAAACGGUGGAUACUAGGUGUUGGCCGUUUAUUCGGUCAGCGCCAAAGCUAACGCGAUAAGUAUCCCGCCUGGGAACUACGAGCGCAAGCUUAAAACUCAAAGGAAUUGACGGGGGCCCGCACAAGCAGCGGAGCGUGUGGUUUAAUUCGAUGCUACACGAAGAACCUUACCUGGACUU
This 550-nucleotide ribosomal RNA is filed under the name uncultured bacterium. RNAcentral describes it as "bacterial SSU rRNA". It matches the Rfam family "Bacterial small subunit ribosomal RNA", at positions 415 to 982 of the family's 1533-position model. The record is from RNAcentral.